Molecule: transfer RNA, 74 nt
Filed under: Pseudomonadota bacterium
Lineage: Bacteria; Pseudomonadati; Pseudomonadota
Also listed under: 1 other name
Description: tRNA-Arg
Rfam family: tRNA
About the family: Transfer RNA (tRNA) molecules are approximately 80 nucleotides in length. Their secondary structure includes four short double-helical elements and three loops (D, anti-codon, and T loops).
Source: RNAcentral
GCGCCUGUAGCUCAGCUGGACAGAGCAUCGGAUUUCUAAUCCGACGGCCGGGGGUUCGAAUCCCUCCAGGCGCG